This 262-nucleotide ribosomal RNA is filed under the name uncultured archaeon. RNAcentral's name for it is "partial 16S ribosomal RNA". It matches the Rfam family "Archaeal small subunit ribosomal RNA", at positions 748 to 1009 of the family's 1478-position model. The record is from RNAcentral.
CAGCCGUAAACAAUGUGCGUUAGGUGUGUCGGUAACCACGCGUUACUGAUGCGCCGAAGAGAAAUCGUGAAACGCACCACCUGGGAAGUACGGUCGCAAGGCUGAAACUUAAAGGAAUUGGCGGGGGAGCACCACAACAGGUGGAGCCUGCGGUUUAAUUGGAUUCAACGCCGGACAUCUCACCGGAUAAGACAGCUGAAUGAUUGUCAAUCUGAAGGUUUUACAUGACUAGCUGAGAGGAGGUGCCAUGGCGUCAGUGACU